RNAcentral lists this ribosomal RNA (499 nucleotides) under uncultured bacterium. RNAcentral's name for it is "bacterial SSU rRNA". It matches the Rfam family "Bacterial small subunit ribosomal RNA", at positions 899 to 1397 of the family's 1533-position model. The record is from RNAcentral.
ACUCAAAGGAAUAGACGGGGGCCCGCACAAGCAGCGGAGCAUGUGGUUUAAUUCGACGCAACGCGAAGAACCUUACCAGGUCUUGACAUCCGUCUAAAGCCGUGGAGACACGGUGUGGCAGCAAUGCCGAGGCGAGACAGGUGGUGCAUGGUUGUCGUCAGCUCGUGUCGUGAGAUGUUGGGUUAAGUCCCGCAACGAGCGCAACCCUUGUCGUCAGUUACUAACGCGUAAAGGCGAGGACUCUGACGAGACUGCCGGGGACAACUCGGAGGAAGGUGGGGAUGAUGUCAAAUCAUCAUGCCCCUUAUGACCUGGGCUACACACGUGCUACAAUGGCCGCAACAAAGAGGAGCAAAUGCGCAAGCAAGAGCGGAUCUCAAAAAGCGGUCUCAGUUCGGAUCGUGGGCUGCAACCCGCCCACGUGAAGUCGGAGUUGCUAGUAAUCGCGAAUCAGCAUGUCGCGGUGAAUACGUUCCCGGGCCUUGUACACACCGCCCGU